RNAcentral lists this ribosomal RNA (442 nucleotides) under uncultured bacterium. Its description in RNAcentral is "partial 16S ribosomal RNA". It matches the Rfam family "Bacterial small subunit ribosomal RNA", at positions 338 to 795 of the family's 1533-position model. The record is from RNAcentral.
CCUACGGGUGGCAGCAGUGGGGAAUAUUGGGCAAUGGAGGCAACUCUGACCCAGCAACGCCGCGUGAAUGAUGAAGGUCUUCGGAUUGUAAAGUUCUGUGAUGGGGGAUGAACACAAUGACGGUACCCCAAUAGCAAGCCACGGCUAACUACGUGCCAGCAGCCGCGGUAAUACGGAGGAUGCGAGCGUUAUCUGGAUUUAUUGGGUUUAAAGGGUGCGCAGGCGGAAGAUCAAGUCAGCGGUAAAAUUGAGAGGCUCAACCUCUUCGAGCCGUUGAAACUGGUUUUCUUGAGUGAGCGAGAAGUAUGCGGAAUGCGUGGUGUAGCGGUGAAAUGCAUAGAUAUCACGCAGAACUCCGAUUGCGAAGGCAGCAUACCGGCGCUCAACUGACGCUCAUGCACGAAAGUGUGGGUAUCGAACAGGAUUAGAUACCCGAGUAGUC